Long non-coding RNA from Hyla sarda, 1627 nucleotides. RefSeq lists it as uncharacterized. The record is from RefSeq and is a predicted model, not a curated record. Lineage: Eukaryota; Metazoa; Chordata; Amphibia; Anura; Hylidae. The transcript is spliced from 2 exons.
AGCUCUGCUGAGCUCUCGUCUUUUCUUCCCUACCCGAUCCCCUGUUCCUGAUGCUCAUGAAGUAAUAAAAGUGAGGUGAGUGCCAUACUGUCCUUUCUUUCUUCUCUUAAUUUGUUGCAUGUAAGCGCACCCUCGACAUCGCCGCACCACCUGUCUAUCUUUGCCCUACAGUCCUCAUCAGUAUAAGCAGUCCAUCCACAUACAGUACAGUGCUAGCACUUCACCUUCCGUCACCUAUAUGUUACUUACAAUCUGUCGGGGUCUCAGAGACCCCGAAUGAUCAAGGGAACGAGACGGGGAAGUGCGCGGCAUUACUGUGUAAUUCCUGAGUUGUAGAGAGACAAAGUCAGCUACGAGCCAGGGAAUGAACAACAAUGCUGCACAUUCCUCCCGGCUCAUUCUCCUGAUCCAUGAGGGUCUCAGCACUGAGACCCCGACCAAUCAAAACUUUUAAAAAAAUCCCUGUAACAUGUCAAAAGUUUUUCUAAGUGACACUUUAAAGGGUACCUCUCAUUUGAGCCAGCUGGCAAGAUCUCUGGUACAAUCUGUUAAAGCUAGCAGUAUACGGUAUUGCCAAAUGUCCCAUAGACUUGUAAUGGAAGGAUCGGGCACUUGGAUUCAACUUGUCUGAUACUUCUCUUUCCCUACAUGAACUGUCGGAGGAGAGAAGGGUCAUGCAAAAUACAUUUCAAGAGGAGGGGAGGGAGCAACGUUUCCCAGCAUGCUCCAGGCAGCUCCCUCCCCCUCCCUUCUGUGCUGCAGAAUACUUGUGUAACCGGGGAGUGUUACACAAGAGAGAGAGGCUGCUGCAAGAGAUGCCUGACAGUCACCUCCUCGUCCUCCUCCAUCAUUCAGAACGCAUGUGUAUGGUGGGAUCAGAGGGUCAACUUGCAGCUUCUGGGCCUGAUGCAAAAUCUGCAACCGGGCCGCAUGUGACCAUUAUAAUAAUAGUCUCUUAUGGGGCAGAUGUGCUUUGGGGCCCCCUUAGGCACCAGGGCCCCAGUGCGACUGCUACCUCUGCACCCCAUAUAUCUACACCCCUUGGUGGGAUCAGGAAAGGAGGCAUCUUAUGCCCAUUCCUGAGGAGACCCCAUCAGAUUCAAGGUCUCCUGUUACCCGAUAGGACCCCCAGUGGUCUAUGGGUGGGAUAUGAUGGAGAAAGAGAUUUUAUAUCUUCUUCUUGCUGUAGAAUGUUCCCCUUCUGUAACAUAUUUUUUCUUCCUCAUCUUCAGCUUGCCGCUAUGUGGCUCGCAAAAUAGCCAGACACGGGGGAGGAGCGGAGGAGAAUGUGGUGGCCAACGAGUCCAUGAAGCCAACGUGUGCUCUGCGCCAAGGGCGCAAGAAGAACACCGCAGUGAAGUCCCAACCACCUGCCGGUUUCAUCCCGCUAACUUCUGACAUGACAGAAGACGGCCCGAGUGCCUCCACGUCACCACCCAAUGACCUAGCUCCACAAUAAUACCCCCCUUCCCCAAGCCAGGAAGCAGGAAGAGAUGUAGGUUUCCAGAGGUUUAUAUCCCCGACACAGCAGAAAAUGAUCCUCCGCUCUACAGCCCCUGUGUACAGAGGUGGGGAGGAGGUGAGAAGGCCCGCUGCUGUGUAACCGAAUAAAGAUCUGUGACCUAUG